RNAcentral lists this ribosomal RNA (503 nucleotides) under uncultured soil bacterium. RNAcentral describes it as "bacterial SSU rRNA". It matches the Rfam family "Bacterial small subunit ribosomal RNA", at positions 26 to 529 of the family's 1533-position model. The record is from RNAcentral.
AGAAUGAACGCUGGCGGCGUGCUUUACACAUGCAAGUCGAGCGAGGCGUGUAGCAAUACACAGUCGAGCGGCGAACGGGUGAGUAACGCGUGGAUGACCUGCCCUUCAGCGGGGAAUAACCCGGGGAAACUCGGGCUAAUACCGCAUACGACCGAGAGGUGGAAGGGGGCCGCAAGGCUCUCACUGAAGGAGGGUCCGCGUUCGAUUAGCUAGUUGGUAGGGUAAUGGCCUACCAAGGCGACGAUCGAUAGCCGGCCUGAGAGGGUGAUCGGCCACACUGGAACUGAGACACGGUCCAGACUCCUACGGGAGGCAGCAGUGGGGAAUUUGCGCAAUGGGCUAACGCCUGACGCAGCAACGCCGCGUGGAGGAUGAAGGUCUUUGGAUUGGUAAACUCCUGUCAGCAGGAAAAGGACACGACCUCAUACGUCGUAGAACUUGAUUGUACCUGCAGAGGAAGCCCCGGAUAACUCUAGUGCCGAGCAGCCGACGGUAAUCGUAGA